RNAcentral lists this small RNA (605 nucleotides) under Pongo abelii (Sumatran orangutan). RNAcentral's name for it is "processed transcript". The record is from RNAcentral. Lineage: Eukaryota; Metazoa; Chordata; Mammalia; Primates; Hominidae.
ACAGACCCUCCCUCACAGCCCUCAGGAGGGACCAAUCCUGCCGACACCCUGACCUGAACUUCAGCCUUCAGAACCAAGAGACAAUGAACGCCUGCCAUUGAAGCUACCGUCUUCAGCACUUUGUUAUCACAGCCCUAGCAAACUCACAGAGGAGCAACUGCCACCUGGUGCCAGCAUGCCUUCCAGUACUCAGCCAUCUCCUCAUGAAGCCUAGGAUGUGAUUCUUGUGCCUCUAGCUCUUUCCUGAGGGGCACUGGUACCUCCAGGACCUGGAGUGUACUGGAAGAAAUGGGGCAGUCCAGGUACAGCAUGGACCCCAGAUCACCCCCACCCCACUCCCUUUCAAUGAUGAUUAUGUCUUAUGAACUAGGAGGGGGAGUGGGGCAGAGAUGCCUCUUUCAUGGCCCCCUGCACACACAGAACCCCUUUGUACUGGGCACUUCUACUCCCAAGCACCCUGACUUGCACCUAGCAGCUAAGGUCAUCUCACCCCCAUCUCCCACCUGCCCCUGGGCCAGCAGGAGGGGCUUGGCCAUGUGUAGGUGAGACAGGACUUCUUGAAGCUGAAAGAUUUCCCACCCCAUGAAAGAGCCAGAAUGUGACAA